This is a long non-coding RNA of Gasterosteus aculeatus aculeatus (three-spined stickleback), 722 nucleotides long. NCBI's taxonomy places the organism in Eukaryota, Metazoa, Chordata, Actinopteri, Perciformes, Gasterosteidae. The record is from Ensembl.
GCCGUUCAGAGUGUUGUUCGUUGCCACACAGCCACCACCGGAAUAUGUUUUAUUUAUUCCACUACACACGUUAAAACAUCACCGACCUGAGUAAACACAGCAUAGAGCAGUUGAAACGUGAAUUCAUUUACUACUGAGAAGUUUGUAUCUUUAUUGUUGAAAUGGAAUCUGCGGUUACUGGCUAGUUGUUGUUGUAGCGGCUAAACUAGCACGUCGCGAUACUCAAGGGGAUCAUGUCUGCGCAGAGUUAAUGCGCAAAGGCUUGAAGCGGCGCUUGUCAGGUUGGUGUGAAGGUGUGAAGGUGUGGACUCUGCUAUGAAUCAGGCUGAGGACCCAGAGGACGGAGUCCCUCCCUCUGAAGCCCCUCUGUGUGGGGAACAUGACAGCCAGACCAAAGCUCAGAGGACCCAUCAGAGACCAGGACCUGGACCUGGACCCAGCUGUGUGUCCAUGAAGAGUAACCGGUCUAUGGAUCCUCCUCUAAACUUCAAAGAUGUUGGUCCCUCUGUUGAUGCAAGGUGAGGGUCUCAGGCUGAUGAUGAGGUGUUUCUACCAGACUCUCUGGUGGAGGUUCUGGGUUUCUUGCUCCAGGGCCCUUCAGCAGUGUCCAGUGAUGGAGGGAGAGCUCCAUGGAGGACUUGGCGAGACCUGUUGGGACUAAACCAAACUGACUGGUGAAGAAAACAGUGAGCUGAAAGACUGAGCUGUUGAUUGUCAGUGGG